CUCAGUAACACGUGGAUAACCUACCCUUAGGACCGGAAUAACCCCGGGAAACUGGGGAUAAUACCGGAUAAGCCAUAGGCGCUGGAAUGCCCUAUGGUUCAAAGCUCCGGCGCCUAAGGAUGGAUCUGCGGUCUAUCAGGUUGUAGUGGGUGUAACGUACCUACUAGCCGACGACGGAUACGGGUUGUGAGAGCAAGAGCCCGGAGAUGGAUUCUGAGACACGAAUCCAGGCCCUACGGGGUGCAGCAGGCGCGAACACUUUACAAUGCGGGAAACCGCGAUAAGGGAACCCCGAGUGCCAGCAUCAAAUGUUGGCUGUCCAGAUGAUUAAAAAUCAUUUGUUAGCAAGGGCCGGGCAAGACCGGUGCCAGCCGCCGCGGUAACACCGGCGGCCCGAGUGGUAGCCGUUUUUAUUGGGUCUAAAGGGUCCGUAGCCGGCCUGAUAAGUCCUUUGGGAAAUCUGGCAGCUUAACUGUCAGGCUUCUAAGGGAUACUGUCAGGCUUGGGACCGGAAGAGGUAAGGGGUACUCCAGGGGUAGGAGUGAAAUCUUGUAAUCCCUGGGGGACCAUCUGUGGCGAAGGCGCCUUACCAGAACGGGUCCGACGGUGAGGGACGAAAGCUAGGGGAGCAAACCGGAUUAGAUACCCGGGUAGUCCUAGCUGUAAACGAUGCUCGCUAGGUGUCAGACACGGUGCGACCGUGUUUGGUGCCGCAGGGAAGCCGUUAAGCGUCCACCUGGGAAGUACGGUCGCAAGGCUGAAACUAAAG
RNAcentral lists this ribosomal RNA (769 nucleotides) under uncultured archaeon. RNAcentral describes it as "bacterial SSU rRNA". It matches the Rfam family "Archaeal small subunit ribosomal RNA", at positions 89 to 861 of the family's 1478-position model. The record is from RNAcentral.